GACGAACGCUGGCGGCGUGCUUAACACAUGCAAGUCGAACGGGCCCGCCCCUGUUUUUGGGGGUGGGUUGAGUGGCGAACGGGUGAGUAUCACGUGAGUAACCUGCCCCCUGCUCCUGGAUAACUGCUUGAAAGGGCGGCUAAUACGGGGUGUGCCGGCUGGUCCGCAUGGGCCUGGUCGGGAUAGUUUCAUCUUCGGGUGUUUCGGUGGGGGAUGGGCUCGCGGCCUAUCAGCUUGUUGGUGGGGUGAUGGCCCACCAAGGCGGUGACGGGUAGCCGGCCUGAGAGGGUGGGCGGCCACACUGGGACUGAGACACGGCCCAGACUCCUGCGGGAGGCAGCAGUGGGGGGGAUUGCACAAUGGGCGGAAGCCUGAUGCAGCGACGUCGCGUGAGGGAUGGAGGCCUUCGGGUUGUGAACCUCUUUCUCUGGUGGUGAAGGCCCUGUCCGUUGCGGCGGGGUUGACGGUAGCCGGGUAUGAAGCGCCGGCUAACUACGUG
RNAcentral lists this ribosomal RNA (499 nucleotides) under uncultured bacterium. RNAcentral's name for it is "partial 16S ribosomal RNA". It matches the Rfam family "Bacterial small subunit ribosomal RNA", at positions 28 to 507 of the family's 1533-position model. The record is from RNAcentral.